AGAGUUUGAUCAUGGCUCAGAUUGAACGCUGGCGGCAUGCUUACACAUGCAAGUCGAGCGGCAGCGCGGGGGCAACCCUGGCGGCGAGCGGCGAACGGGUGAGUAAUGCAUCGGAACGUACCCUGGAGUGGGGGGAUAACGCCGCGAAAGCGGCGCUAAUACCGCAUAUGCUCUGAGGAGGAAAGUGGGGGACCGCAAGGCCUCACGCUCUGGGAGCGGCCGAUGUCCGAUUAGCUAGUUGGUGGGUAAAGGCUUACCAAGGCGACGAUCGGUAGCUGGUCUGAGAGGAUGAUCAGCCACACUGGGACUGAGACACGGCCCAGACUCCUACGGGAGGCAGCAGUGGGGAAUUUUGGACAAUGGGGGCAACCCUGAUCCAGCCAUGCCGCGUGAGUGAAGAAGGCCUUCGGGUUGUAAAGCUCUUUUGGUCGGGAAGAAAGCGCCUUGCCUAAUACGCGAGGUGGUUGACGGUACCGGCAGAAUAAGCACCGGCUAACUACGUG
Molecule: ribosomal RNA, 503 nt
Filed under: uncultured bacterium
Lineage: Bacteria
Description: bacterial SSU rRNA
Rfam family: Bacterial small subunit ribosomal RNA
Source: RNAcentral